Molecule: ribosomal RNA, 233 nt
Filed under: uncultured bacterium
Lineage: Bacteria
Description: partial 16S ribosomal RNA
Rfam family: Bacterial small subunit ribosomal RNA
Source: RNAcentral
CGGGUGAGUAACGCGUGAGGAACCUGCCUCAAAGAGGGGGACAACAAUUGGAAACGACUGCUAAUACCGCAUAAGCCCACAGCUCGGCAUCGAGCAGAGGGAAAAGGAGCAAUCCGCUUUGAGAUGGCCUCGCGUCCGAUUAGCUAGUUGGUGAGGUAACGGCCCACCAAGGCGACGAUCGGUAGCCGGACUGAGAGGUUGAACGGCCACAUUGGGACUGAGACACGGCCCAG